RNAcentral lists this ribosomal RNA (670 nucleotides) under uncultured Micromonosporaceae bacterium. RNAcentral describes it as "bacterial SSU rRNA". It matches the Rfam family "Bacterial small subunit ribosomal RNA", at positions 136 to 816 of the family's 1533-position model. The record is from RNAcentral. Lineage: Bacteria; Bacillati; Actinomycetota; Actinomycetes; Micromonosporales; Micromonosporaceae.
CUUUGGGAUAACCCUCGGAAACGGGGGCUAAUACCGGAUAGGACCUGCCGGUGCAUGCCGGCGGGUGGAAAGCCUUUUGGCGGCUGGGGAUGGGCUCGCGGCCUAUCAGCUUGUUGGUGGGGUGAUGGCCUACCAAGGCGACGACGGGUAGCCGGCCUGAGAGGGCGACCGGCCACACUGGGACUGAGACACGGCCCAGACUCCUACGGGAGGCAGCAGUGGGGAAUAUUGCACAAUGGGCGAAAGCCUGAUGCAGCGACGCCGCGUGAGGGAUGACGGCCUUCGGGUUGUAAACCUCUUUCAGCUCCGACGAAGCCGGAAGGUGACGGUAGGGGCAGAAGAAGCGCCGGCCAACUACGUGCCAGCAGCCGCGGUAAGACGUAGGGCGCGAGCGUUGUCCGGAUUUAUUGGGCGUAAAGAGCUCGUAGGCGGCUCGUCGCGUCAACCGUGAAAACCUGCAGCUCAACUGCGGGCCUGCGGUUGAUACGGGCGGGCUGGAGUUCGGUAGGGGAGACUGGAAUUCCUGGUGUAGCGGUGAAAUGCGCAGAUAUCAGGAGGAACACCGGUGGCGAAGGCGGGUCUCUGGGCCGAUACUGACGCUGAGGAGCGAAAGCGUGGGGAGCGAACAGGAUUAGAUACCCUGGUAGUCCACGCUGUAAACGUUGGGCGC